This 2433-nucleotide small RNA is filed under the name Arabidopsis thaliana (thale cress). RNAcentral describes it as "ATSL199620". Lineage: Eukaryota; Viridiplantae; Streptophyta; Magnoliopsida; Brassicales; Brassicaceae. The record is from RNAcentral.
AAAAAUGCUAUGGUAUGUACAAUGGUGGUGGUGGUGUUACCUCAGCGGUCAGGUGAAGUAGAUGAAAACUUAAUCGUCCAUACUCUAUAGAAUAUAAGAAGGGGCAGAUGUUGACGCGGGAGGAUUUUGCUCGUUCUGUCUGGUCGAGUAGUUGGUCGAGCGUGUAGAACCUCGUCUCUGCCUACUCCUUGGCUCUCUCAACUCGGAGAUCACUUCCCGAGGCUCGAGUGAUGAAGCUCGGGGUUGAUCAAUCCUUUCAGCCCUCCUUUCAGCCCUCCUUGUGGAACCGCUUCUUCUUACUUCGGGGGUGGGAGACGGUGGCCUUGGCUUGCUCUAGAAGUCUUUGAUUUGACUAGCCAUACUCUUUAGUGAUUUCUUCAUUGUUCUCAUCUUCUUCUUGAAACCCUUCAUCGUUUUGCUGUGAAGGUUCCCAAGCUCUUCAAGCACACGGAGCUUCUUGUAAACUUCAGUUAUCUCAUCUCCUCCUUGAUCAGCAUCUGCUUCAUAAUGAGCUUGCUUGAAUUCUUUGGUCUCUUGCUCCGGUUGUUCGCUAAGUUGCUCGAACUCGACUUGCUGCUCAUAGUCAGCUUGAGUAUAAUAUUCUUGUUGCUCAUAGUCAGCUUGAGUAUACUCUUGUUCAUCUUCUCUAGCUCCUUCGAUGUCGAUGUUCAGGGAAGAGGGAGAUGGCAUGAAGUUGAUGUUGUGCCUUGUCUUCAAUGAAGUCCGGUUCUCGCAAGGUAGAGGUAACAAAGAAGGUCCAAGCUUUGGAUGGUUGAACUUGAAGAUAUAAUGAUCCGCCGGAGUCUUCUUUUCAAGAAAAUCCUUCCCCUUGAGAUAGUUGAGGUCGAUGAACUUGGGGAACACGUCAGGGGUUCCAAAUUGUAUCCUUGAAGCUCCUAAGAUUGGUGUUAAGAGACCACCAACACAAAGACUUCCGCAAAUCCCCGAGAGAUGGAUGGUUGCAACAUACUCUCUAUAGCUCAGUAGGUGGUCCAAAAGAACGACAGUCAACGAAGUGUCUACUCUAUCACCCGCCAUCUUCCUCCCAUCCUCGGUCUCUCUCAGAAUGAAGACCAAAGCUUGAGCAAUCAUGAAUAGCUCUCCUUCAUAAACGAAUCUGGUAGUCUUCUUUGGGAAAAGGGUAAUGGCGAUACAUUGGUGGAGGUAUCUAAUCACGAGACUUCGAAUUGAAGAACUCUUGCUCUUGGCGGGCGAGUAGGGCUUUGGACCGGCAAUUGUUGUCCAAAGAGAUUUUAUCUCAUCUUGGUCAUAGUCUUGGCGGAUUCUUUCUCCACUUGGAAACCCAAAAAUGGUAUCAAGGUGGCUAAUAUCAAGCUCGACACCCCCAACCUUGAAAUUUAUGUAACCAAGCCCUCCUCUUUCUUCUUUCUCCGAAUCAUCAACACAAAAGUGAACCUUGAGGGUUGAAAGGAGUUGGCAGCUCUCCUCUUUAAAUCCUCCACAUUGGCAGCUCAUGAACGUUGCAAGAUUGGCCAAUUCCAUGAAGUAUUCCACAUCACCACAAAUACCAAGCUCAAACUUUAACUCCUUCAAGUAUUGAUAGUACUCACUUGGGGUUGGCUCUCUCUUCCUCCUUGGUCGGUUUCUUUUGCCAACCGGGGCUAGUGUAUCAUCCCCGAUGAUCUCAACCUCUUCCUCAUGACCGCUUCUUCGAAGACUGCCUCUUCACGGUGUACUUCCUCAACCUCAACAACCCUCUUUCCCCGAGCUACUUCUUCUCUUAACAUGGCUGAGCGGCUUGAGCUUCCACCUAGAAUCAAGCUUGAUCUUUGAGCACAACGAUCUUGGCAAAUUUGGCGUUCAGUCAUGCCACUCAUGUCAAACGCCUCAACUUCUUCGUUAUCAACGGAGGAUCUUCUACCCCGAGAUGAACUCUUUCUCCUUGAAUCCAUGGAGAUUGGUGGUGAGCUUCAACAGGGCAAACAAGAACAACUCUCCAAGGGGUAUCAAAGUGGAAUGGAUUCGGUUUCUUUGGUGAUGAAAUUUUGUGCUUAAAACCGAUUAAAUGUGUGAGGAUAGACUUGGGAGUGAUCGAGUAACUUUGGUGAAGUAUUGGUGAAGGUGAGAACGAAUUCUUGAAGAGUGAUAGGGAGAGUUUGGGAUGAAACUUUUGAAGCUUUGUGAGAGAUAGAGAAUUGCAAAAAUGAGAUGAUGAAAGAGAGAGUUUCAAAAGGGUUUGGCGAAUUCAAUUCAAUGGGUGGAGGAGAAUGGUCUUUGGUUUGUUUUUGGAAGAGAUAGAAACGUUGAUUGGAAAUGGUGAGGAGCAUGGGUAAUUUCUUUGUCCAUCGAGUAAAGGAGUGUUGGGGGAAUAAGUGGGGUCACACAACUUCACUCCUUGGUCUCCAAAUAAUUCAAGCUCGAGUAAAGGAUCAAGCAUCUUCUAGAAUUACGCAUUACUCGAUCGAACGGUGG